This is a long non-coding RNA of Gambusia affinis (western mosquitofish), 405 nucleotides long. RefSeq lists it as uncharacterized. The transcript has 3 exons. The record is from RefSeq and is a predicted model, not a curated record. NCBI's taxonomy places the organism in Eukaryota, Metazoa, Chordata, Actinopteri, Cyprinodontiformes, Poeciliidae.
UGCAGCUGUGAUCGUUUGGGUUCCCCUGAAGCGAGGCCGCAGCCCUCACCAGGCCCAUCCGCGUGAAGGCGUGGUAAUACGUGAGCAGCGUGUCCGACAGGCUGGCGACGCCAUCUGGCUCGUCGUAAACAUUCUCCCAGUACGAGUUCAGUCCCAGCGUCCCCUGAGGAAACGGUCCAAACAGGGUCAGACCGCACUGACACCAUGUUGAAUGCCAAGCGGACCCUGCAGCAGCGCCAAGGAGCUCAGGGCAAUGUUUUGGCACAGACCUGCCAGAGACAGAAGCGAGACAACCGGGUUUGGCAAAGGGAGAGUGGAGCAGGCAGCAGCGUGUACGCGUAGAAUCGCUUCAUGCUGGUGACCAGAUCGUCCUUGGAGUUGAUCACAUAUUCCACAAACAUGCGG